GAUGAGCCCGCGUUCAUAGCUAGUUGGUAAGGUAACGGCUUACCAAGGCGACGAUCAGUAGCCGACCUGAGAGGGUGAUCGGCCACACUGGAACUGAGACACGGUCCAGACUCCUACGGGAGGCAGCAGUGGGGAAUAUUGCACAAUGGGCGAAAGCCUGAUGCAGCAACGCCGCGUGAGCGAUGAAGGCCUUCGGGUUGUAAAGCUCUUUUCUUGGGGAAGAAUAAAUGACGGUACCCAAGGAAUCAGCCCCGGCUAACUACGUGCCAGCAGCCGCGGUAAUACGUAGGGGGCAAGCGUUAUCCGGAAUCACUGGGCGUAAAGGGUGCGUAGGUGGCUAAGCAAGUCAGAGGUGAAAGGCAACGGCUCAACCGUUGUAAGCCUUUGAAACUGUUUAGCUUGAGUGCAGGAGAGGAAAGUGGAAUUCCUAGUGUAGCGGUGAAAUGCGUAGAUAUUAGGAGGAACACCAGUGGCGAAGGCGACUUUCUGGACUGUAACUGACACUGAGGCACGAAAGCGUGGGGAGCGAACAGGAUUAGAUACCCUGGUAGUCCACGCCGUAAACGAUGAACACUAGAUGCC
Molecule: ribosomal RNA, 582 nt
Filed under: uncultured sulfate-reducing bacterium
Lineage: Bacteria
Description: bacterial SSU rRNA
Rfam family: Bacterial small subunit ribosomal RNA
Source: RNAcentral